UAUUACUGUGGGCUCCAGUCUCCCCUUUGUCACCACAUAUUCACCUUCUACUAUGGCAUUGGUCAGAGGAUGCAGAAGGAGAUUCCUCUCCCACACCACAGGGUCUUCUGUCCUGCAGGACCACAGGAUCAUCCCGGCCUACAGGAGAAACAAGAAUCUACUGGAUUAUCUGGUAAAGGCCAAAUUAAAACCUCUGCACAGCACUAAGGGGAGAGGUCAGAGUGAUGUCUUUUUUAAACACAGAAAAUGGCUGCAAAGCCACAGCACGGGAGAUGUUUUUCUGAACUCAGCCAGGGGAAACACCAAGUCUAAGAACUGUGUUUACCUCAUCACGUGUGUACAAUGUGGAUUACAAUAUGUGGGGGAGACGGGGAACACCAUCGCGACCCGCUUCACACAACACAAACACAACAUCAUUAAAAAGAAAAAAACACUGACGCCACUUGUGGCACAUUUUAUUUCGCACGGCUGGAAAUCUGUGUCUGUGUGUGUGAUCCAGACGAACCCCGGAUGGAGCGCUCCCCAGAGGAGGAGAGCGGAGAGGGGCUGGAUCAAUAAAUUAAACACCAGGUAUCCUAAGGGCUUAAAUGAGGACUAAGAGCUGCGGGCUGUGAGGCAGUGCUGGACAGUGCGCAGAUGGUCCUGCUUGCAGGUCCAUCCAAAACUAUUUAUUCCCUAACCGGCCCGUGCCGCCUGCUGAGCAGCCUGCGGUCUCUACGGUUCUCGCAUACAGCCCACCCUGUUAUUUUGUCCUAAACACAACCACUCCAUAACCCAUGCCUAAACCUAAUCCUAUACAGCCCACCCGGUUAUUUUUUCCUAAACACAACCACUCCAUAACCUAUGCCUAAACCCAACCCUUCAUCAUCCAUGAUCCUGCCACUGUACCACUUACAGGUUGAAGUUUAAAUAAAAGGCCAAUUGGCCCUUUAACUGUUGUGUUAUUUCACAGUUGGAUGUAUGAAAAAGGGUUUUAUUCACUUGUUUGGGAAUGUGGUUACGUUGUAAAUAUUUCUAAUAUUUCUGCUUUUUGACAAAAAUGUGUGUUUUAUUCCAUGUU
Molecule: long non-coding RNA, 1060 nt
Organism: Gasterosteus aculeatus aculeatus (three-spined stickleback)
Lineage: Eukaryota; Metazoa; Chordata; Actinopteri; Perciformes; Gasterosteidae
Source: Ensembl